GAGCGGCCAGCGCAGGGGAUUCUAUUCUGGCAACAACGACUUGGCCAGCCCAGAUGGCGUACAGCGUAGCGUAGAACUGAUAUCCAGUAUGUAGGAGGUAAAGUAGACCCCGAUUUGGCCCGGACUGGCCUUUCACGGAAUUGACGUAUAGAGGCACGCGUCGCAGCCAGCGCAGACAAUGCAAACUAGUGCACCACCGAACAAACAGGCGGCGGGCACCCCCAAUUUGCUUUGCAUUACCCGGCGUAGGUCUGCGCGCAAUGUGCCUCUGCAAUACAAACAAAGAUCCAACCGCGUUAGGUUGACCACGGCUAUGUCUGCCACCACCCCGAUCUCUACCUCCACUACUACCCC
RNAcentral lists this unclassified non-coding RNA (354 nucleotides) under Bombus terrestris (buff-tailed bumblebee). RNAcentral describes it as "misc RNA ENSBTSG00005031310.1". Lineage: Eukaryota; Metazoa; Arthropoda; Insecta; Hymenoptera; Apidae. The record is from RNAcentral.